GUGUGGUUGUGCUGUUUUGAGUCUCUUUGCUUCCGUAAAUUAUGUCUCUAGUUUCGGUCGGAAUGGGUGCUCUGAGAACGUCAUUUCUUGCAUUGGAUGCAUGGUGUGGUUACUUUGCAAUCAAGAGGUAGGAUUUGUUAAAUAAACUCUCUUUAUCUUCCUGCAGUUAUUGAUGAAUAAUUUGUGAAUGUAAUAUCAUUCACCCGUAUCUUUAUCCUUAAUUUGUUAAUGGUAUUAACCUUUUUGCAGAUUUGCAUUUAAAUGUCAUAGAAAAUCAGAGGCUGGAAGGGACAUUGUGUAUCCAGUAAAUGCAAUUGCAUUCCACCCCGUGUAAGUUACUUUUUUCUAUUAAAGUAUUGCGUACUAAACUUGUGAACUUGUGUGUGUUGAUUUAUUGAAGUCAUGAAAACGAUAGGCCAUAUCUGGUUUCCUGUUGAAGGCAUCUUGUGACUACAAUAAUAACAUAUGGGAAUUUCAUAGUAGUAACUUAGUUCAUGGUUUAUUCUUUGGUUGAAUGGUUCAAAAAAUAAGGAUCAAAAUUGUUCCUUGUUUUUGCGAUAGAUUAUGGCUUAGAUUAUACUUGAUCCGUUAGUUGGGAAUGUUUAAAACCUAAAUUAAGCUCGAGGGGAGCUUAAUAAUUUCAUAUAUACGUAGCUCAUGCUUUAAUAAAGUUUAUCAAGAGAGUUUGAGAAUGAGAUUCUUGUACAUUAUUGACUGUCAUGUUUUCAAGCUAUUUUGCCCUCUCGGGACAAAUUGAAAAGAGCUAUACAUACUUUCGCUUGAUGAGAGUUGCGAUCAUACUGCUUAUUGUAUGAGAGCAAUGAUGCUAGCAGUUUCUUUUUAGUCCACGUGCAUUUCUUUUAUUAGUUCUUUUCUGAAAUUCAAUUGCAGCUAUGGUACUUUGGCUGUUUCUCAGCAGCAGCCAUGUUGGCAAGGCGCCAGGAAUACCUUUACCUGGGGGGUUUGCUUUCUUCUGGCCUUUCUAUGCUAAUUUGGUUACACUUUGCUUCUUCUGUCUUUGGGGGUUUUGCAGCUCUUUUCAAGUUUGAGGUAAGGAAUUAUCAAUUAGUCAUGUGAAUGAUGGGCAAUGCUACAUUUUGUGUAUAAAAGCUAAAACAGGGUGAUAUAUGUGAAGGAAUAUAAUGAGAUUUAUGUGGGAUUUCUAGUGACUAGCAUGCAUAUACAAUUCAAAAUUUAUAUACAUUAGCAACGGAAGCAUGUUAUCACAUAAUAUCAAAGCUAUAGUCAUGCAAAUCCCCUUCAAGAAGCAUAGGUUCAUAUAUGAUGCAUCUAAGAAAUUAUUGAAGAACAAAGUGAAGGUAUAGUUUUAUACCUCUUGAUCUAGACUUGAGACCAAGGAUUGACCACCUUCAAGCUCUUUGUUCUUGGAACUCCUUAAGCCUAGCCUCCCUCCUUGCUUCCUCCACCUUGCUAGAAUGAGUGCUCCUUGGCUCUCCUUUAGUCUCCAAGGUUGAAGACCUCUAAAGAUCCACACCCACUAGUGUAGUGAGAUGGAUGGAGGAAUAACCAAAAGGGAGAGAAGAUGAUUAGCUACUUCUCCCUUAUGGUGGCCGGCCUUGUGUGUGUGUUUGGAGAGAGAGAUGUUUUCUUCUUUUGUGAAAAAUGAACACACAAAACCCUAAUGAAACUUUUUACUAAAAGUUCCUUUUAUAUCUCAAAGAUAGUUAGCCAACAACUUGACUCCCUCUCUCUCCCUUUCCCUUUAUUUGGCCGGCCCCUUUAGUGUUGUUUGGGCUUUGGGCUUUUAUUAUUUCAAGUCAUCAUAUGCUUAAAUAAAAGCCCAAUGGGUUUGGGCUUAAUGGGCCCAUAUUAACCCGAACUUUUCUUUAAGUCCAAAAACGAUCUUUCAUCGCUUCUAUGAUUUCUUUAGACUUUCUAAUUAAUCAUAACACUUAAUUAAUCCAAUUAAUUUAUUCCAUCAUCCAUUAGUUGUCUCAUUACAAGAGUGUAUCGGUGUACAAUUAUUUUGGGUUCUAAUUAGCAAGGUAGUGAGGUGAUUGGCACCAAUCCAAUUGAUUAUAUUUAAUCCAAUCACUUAGUGAAUUAAAACUUACUUUUAAUUCUCCUUCUUCUUUGACGACUACUUAUUUAAUCAUCUAGAAGAACUCACAAGCUAUGAGUGACAUCUAACCAUAUAUCAUGGUUACCCAAGCUAAUGUAGAAUUUGUUCGGAGAACCUAUUCAGUUGGAAUUACAAUGUAAUUCGAUCAUUCUUUAAAACAAUACUCUCAAUCACAUUAUUAGGGUAUGGAUAUAUUAUGUCAAACCCCUAAUGUGAUUAUUCCAUGUUAUAUGAUUCAAUUGAGUCGUAUAGGAACGAUUUCCUUUAUUACGCUCGAUACUUCGGCCGAAUAUUCCCGAAUCAUAUCUUAAAGUAUUCAUCCUCUCAUAACGAGGAUUAGAGAUCCCUUGUUGAUCAUUCACAUGCCUCUGAGAAUAAAUCAUUGACCUCAACAAUGCAUAGAACACACCCAAGAUGAGGUGUGGUCACGUCUCGUUAUCAAAAUGAUCAACAACGUAUCCCCAAGACAACUAUGAUGUCUCAGGUCAAAGAAUUACUUACAUUAUUCCAACCAUUAGAGUUGUUUGCUUCACAUGUAAGUAGACCUCCAUGCAAGUACUCUCGUUCGAUUGUGUUCAGUGAACUCAUUCCCAUAAUGAGCACCUACAUACCUGUCUUAGUGUCACUACACGAAUGGGAUGAGACUUUCCAUCAUUCCAAUUGAAGGGGACAUAGUAUGUACUGGUCUAUGCAUUGUCAGUAUCCCUCUGACAAUCCUAUGACUAGGAACCUUUUUGGACAUGAUGGUUAUGUGAAGAAGGUAUCUGUAGUCUAACAUCAUUAGAUUACUUCUUCCAUCGAUCCAUUGUCCAUGGAUUCACUAUUUAUGACAUAUAUCGUUUAUUGAGACAGUCCUAAUUAGUAUCUUUGCCUUUUGAUGUAUAAGAGUCAUCUAUACACUCAUUCAUUGUCCUGAAAGGUUUCUUCCAAAGAUUGACUUUCAGGGCAUAUCUCCAACAUUCUCUGAAAUUGUGUUGCAGCUGUAUUUCAGUUUUGUUGCUGUGUUUGUCCAUAUACUGGUUAUCAUGGUAAGUUCUCGUUAAUGCUUUAAGAGCAAAAUCCUUAUCUCGGUCUUGUUUUCUAUCAUAUUUAUGACUGUUGGUGCUUAGACCAUCUCCUCUUUUAUUUUAUAUUGUGAGAUGUUAUAUCUGUUAGGCUAAGUAGACUUGUUAACUAAAACGACUAUCGUUUCUUUACCACAGUUGAAGAACUUGGCCGAGAAGAAUGAGAAUAAGAAGAAAAGAAAGGAUUGAUGCUCCUUCUGUAACCCUGGUGAUGCAAAGCAAUGCAAAAUGAGAUCAUCACUUGUCUAUAUAGAGUUUUCCAUGUGACCUCAAAAACAAAAUGUGUAGUUGAUAUAUUCCCUACUCUUUGGUGGGUGGUAGACUGAUAGUGAUUGUCUAGUGUUGCUGCCGUUAAACUUCUACUUACUGUUUUGAAUGACAUCGUUUUAAUUCGUGACGAAGUUUAUUGUUGUGUUAAUAAACUGGCUAGCUCCUCCAUCUGCACUACUUGUAUGUUG
This 3605-nucleotide long non-coding RNA is filed under the name Malus domestica (apple). RNAcentral's name for it is "long non-coding RNA (MDOM_LNC008993)". Lineage: Eukaryota; Viridiplantae; Streptophyta; Magnoliopsida; Rosales; Rosaceae. The record is from RNAcentral.